Long non-coding RNA from Vitis riparia (riverbank grape), 270 nucleotides. RefSeq lists it as uncharacterized. NCBI's taxonomy places the organism in Eukaryota, Viridiplantae, Streptophyta, Magnoliopsida, Vitales, Vitaceae. The record is from RefSeq and is a predicted model, not a curated record. The transcript has 2 exons.
GACUUUUUUUGGAUCACCAUCAGCACCAUCUCCGUUGUUGCCACUUCAUUCUUCAUCUUAGGGCUUCAAGAGACGUAGGUAUCUAAGAAAAACAUCAAGAAGAAGACAAUGAUGCAGAAACAAAGAUCACCUCUUAUGAAGAUAAUGUUGUACUUUUCAAUUUAAGUUUGUAUAUUAUUUUAAUUGAAUGUUUUUAGCUAGAUUUUGUUUGUAUAUAGAAAAUAGAGAGUAACUUGAAAAAGAUUUAUGAAAUUGUGUUCUUAAUAUUUA